Molecule: non-coding RNA, 86 nt
Filed under: Coprococcus eutactus
Lineage: Bacteria; Bacillati; Bacillota; Clostridia; Lachnospirales; Lachnospiraceae
Also listed under: 1 other name
Description: S10-Clostridia ribosomal protein leader
Rfam family: S10-Clostridia ribosomal protein leader
Source: RNAcentral
UGAUAGCUGAGAAGCGGAGGUUGCUGCGUACAUAUAUGACGCAGGUUUUUCGUGGAGCGAAUGUCAAUUUACAAAACUGGCGACAA